RNAcentral lists this signal recognition particle RNA (273 nucleotides) under Gorilla gorilla gorilla (western lowland gorilla). RNAcentral's name for it is "Metazoan signal recognition particle RNA". It matches the Rfam family "Metazoan signal recognition particle RNA". From Rfam's summary of the family: The signal recognition particle (SRP) is a universally conserved ribonucleoprotein. Lineage: Eukaryota; Metazoa; Chordata; Mammalia; Primates; Hominidae. The record is from Rfam by way of RNAcentral.
ACUGGGCAUGUUGGCAUGUACCUGUAAUUCCAGCUAUUCAGGAGGCUGAGGCAGGAGAAUCGCUUGAACCAGAGAGUCUGAGGUUGCAGUGAGCUGAGAUUGCACCACUGCACUCCAGCCUGGUGACAGAGCAAGACUCCNNNNNNNNNNUUUUUUUUUUUUUUUUUUUUUUUGAGACGGAGUCUUGCUCUGUCACCAGGCUGGAGUGCAGUGGUGCAAUCUCAGCUCACUGCAACCUCAGACUCUCUGGUUCAAGCGAUUCUCCUGCCUCAG